Listeriaceae bacterium FSL A5-0209 is the source of this 86-nucleotide non-coding RNA. Lineage: Bacteria; Bacillati; Bacillota; Bacilli; Caryophanales; Listeriaceae. The record is from Rfam.
UUGGCUGUAUCUUCGAGUAAGAACGGCACAUGUUUUCUUUGUUUAAAAAUAUUUUGCUUUGAUCCAAUUAGGACAGAGACAAAAGG